GGGGAUAUAGCUCAGUUGGUAGAGUGUUUGCCUCAAAUGCACAAGGCCCUGGGUUCAAUCCCCAGCAUAUCACCA
This 75-nucleotide transfer RNA is filed under the name Ictidomys tridecemlineatus (thirteen-lined ground squirrel). Its description in RNAcentral is "tRNA-Leu (CAA) (tRNA-Leu-CAA-3-1)". It matches the Rfam family "tRNA". Rfam says of the family: Transfer RNA (tRNA) molecules are approximately 80 nucleotides in length. Their secondary structure includes four short double-helical elements and three loops (D, anti-codon, and T loops). Further hydrogen bonds mediate the characteristic L-shaped molecular structure. tRNAs have two regions of fundamental functional importance: the anti-codon, which is responsible for specific mRNA codon recognition, and the 3' end, to which the tRNAs corresponding amino acid is attached (by aminoacyl-tRNA synthetases). tRNAs cope with the degeneracy of the genetic code in two manners: having more than one tRNA (with a specific anti-codon) for a particular amino acid; and 'wobble' base-pairing, i.e. permitting non-standard base-pairing at the 3rd anti-codon position. The record is from RNAcentral. Lineage: Eukaryota; Metazoa; Chordata; Mammalia; Rodentia; Sciuridae.